This 484-nucleotide ribosomal RNA is filed under the name uncultured bacterium. RNAcentral's name for it is "partial 16S ribosomal RNA". It matches the Rfam family "Bacterial small subunit ribosomal RNA", at positions 30 to 507 of the family's 1533-position model. The record is from RNAcentral.
AUUGAACGCUGGCGGCAGGCCUAGCACAUGCCAGUCGAGCGGAUGAAGGGAGCUUGCUCCUGGAUUCAGCGGCGGACGGGUGAGUAAUGCCUAGGAAUCUGCCUGGUAGUGGGGGAUAACGUCCGGAAACGGGCGCUAAUACCGCAUACGUCCUGAGGGAGAAAGUGGGGGAUCUUCGGACCUCACGCUAUCAGAUGAGCCUAGGUCGGAUUAGCUAGUUGGUGGGGUAAAGGCCUACCAAGGCGACGAUCCGUAACUGGUCUGAGAGGAUGAUCAGUCACACUGGAACUGAGACACGGUCCAGACUCCUACGGGAGGCAGCAGUGGGGAAUAUUGGACAAUGGGCGAAAGCCUGAUCCAGCCAUGCCGCGUGUGUGAAGAAGGUCUUCGGAUUGUAAAGCACUUUAAGUUGGGAGGAAGGGCAGUAAGUUAAUACCUUGCUGGUUUGACGUUACCAACAGAAUAAGCACCGGCUAACUUCGUG